RNAcentral lists this long non-coding RNA (258 nucleotides) under Zea mays. RNAcentral's name for it is "long non-coding RNA (ZMAY_LNC002377)". Lineage: Eukaryota; Viridiplantae; Streptophyta; Magnoliopsida; Poales; Poaceae. The record is from RNAcentral.
CGGUAGGAGGGAGAGAGAGGAGAGGAGAGGCGUGCAGCAGCCAGCAGAAGCAGCAUUGGCGAUUGAUGAGUGGUGCGAGUGCAUGCGAGUAUGGAGGAAAAGCUACAAAAAUUGCGCGUGUGGGUGCAGCCUUUGCAUGCGCGCCCUCCGGCCGGCCUCCCUGCCUGCCGCUUUUGGGGGUGAGCCUGAUGAGCUCUGACACGAGCGUGCGCGCUUGUCUUGCACGGACCGCUCGAUCUCCACCCCGCAGGAACGCAG